Molecule: ribosomal RNA, 374 nt
Filed under: uncultured organism
Description: partial 16S ribosomal RNA
Rfam family: Bacterial small subunit ribosomal RNA
Source: RNAcentral
GUAGGUGGCGAGCGUUGUCCGGAAUUAUUGGGGCGUAAAGCGCGCGCAGGCGGUUCUUUAAGUCUGAUGUGAAAGCCCACGGGCUCAACCGUGGAGGGUCAUUGGAAACUGGAGAACUUGAGUACAGAAGAGGAAAGCGGAAUUCCACGUGUAGCGGUGAAAUGCGUAGAGAUGUGGAGGAACACCAGUGGCGAAGGCGGCUUUCUGGUCUGUAACUGACGCUGAGGCGCGAAAGCGUGGGGAGCAAACAGGAUUAGAUACCCUGGUAGUCCACGCCGUAAACAAUGAGUGCUAAGUGUUAGGGGGUUUCCGCCCCUUAGUGCUGCAGCUAACGCAUUAAGCACUCCGCCUGGGGGGUACGGCCGCAAAGGCUG